UACUGUACAGUAUGCAACAAUAUUCAUCUGAUCUUGGAUUUGAUAGACUAUAGUGAUCUUAUAGAACGCAACAGUAAUAUACUUUUUCUUGAGUUUUAUAAGGCUUUUGAUACGAUAGAACAUAAUUUUAGUUUUAAUGUUUAGAAUUAUUUGGUUUUGGUCAGUGUUUUCAGAAUGUUAUUAAAAUUAUUUAUAAUGGUUCUAAUAGUUCAGUUAAGUUACAUAGUGGGACUUCUCCAAGAUUUGAUAUUGGUAGAGGUUAGGCAGUGGAAUGGAUUCCAGGGCAAACUCGUUCUUGUUGGAGGAUCCUUGUGACUCCUCGCCCAAUAUAACAGGUAAACUCAUGCACUGAAAUUAUGCGCUUCCAAAUUGAAGCGACACGCAUUUGAAUAAUUCAAAAUACACACGAGGGAACGUCUCCAAACCAUGUCUAAAUAUCACAACAUGAAAGCUGUGCGUACCUUAUCUUUAUUUGCCUGUACAAUGUACCCCGGUGAUCUUUAAUGUACUCUUGUGUGCAUCGUAUAAGAUUUUUAUUAUUGGAAUAUAAAGAAAAGAAAAAAACACAAUGAGGUCGAAUUGAUCAGCAGCGUGAGCCGACUCGCCGGUAAACACACUCUCCAGCGGUGUCUGGAGUUCACGAAUAACUCUCUGCCCUGAAGGACAGGUUUGCAGGAGCCCGCAGUGCUUGACGAGCAGAGAGCGGAACCACACCGAGCUCAGCGACAGACCGCGCAAGGGGCAGCCAGGGCUGUCGGCAGUUUCUGCAGAUCUGCUCUCAGCCAGAGAGGAGGGAGACGCAGUCGCUCUCCUGUGUCGGCUGGAGGAAGCGGAGCUGUGGAGAGAGGGAACGGAGCCCUUCAGGAGACGCUCCUGGGAGAGGAGAGACGCUGCGCUGGAAACCCACUGCCUGCCAAACUGCAGAUCCGCGCCUCUCCAGCACCUGUCCGGGAGGAAGCCGAGCACACAGCUGAACACCCCCCUCCGGGAGAGGGCAGUGAAGGACAGAGGCGAGGGAAAACAGACAGGGAUGCUAAACGCAGUUCUAGGACUCCGAAAAGCCAUUCGUGUGGAGGAAGGAAAGUUCGCGGAGCCUCUUCAGGUGUCGAGGAAAAGAGGGACAGACUGCUGCAGAUCUAGCAGUGCGAACACGGCUGUACUGAGAGCGACGGACGGAGUUCAUGCUGUUGCAGCGCUGGGUUCCGCUUCAUUCCAAUGCGUGUGAUUCAUGUGCAGCUAACUGAAUGUACAGUGUCAUCCCCCCCAGAAGAGUGAUGCUGAGAUGGCGGAGUCUCUAGGAUGAGGCAGUGUGGGUGUUGUUACAG
Non-coding RNA from Lepisosteus oculatus (spotted gar), 1325 nucleotides. The record is from RefSeq and is a predicted model, not a curated record. Lineage: Eukaryota; Metazoa; Chordata; Actinopteri; Semionotiformes; Lepisosteidae.